UCUCCGUUGGUGAACCAGCGGAGGGAUCAUUACCGAGUUAUCAACUCCCAAACCCCUGUGAACAUACCCAACGUUGCUUCGGCGGGACCGCCCCGGCGCCCUCGGCGUCCCGGAACCAGGCGCCCGCCGGAGGACCCAAACUCUUGUUUAAACCAUAGUAGCAUAUUCUGAGUCUCACAAGAAAAAUGAAUCAAAACUUUCAACAACGGAUCUCUUGGCUCUG
RNAcentral lists this unclassified non-coding RNA (223 nucleotides) under plant metagenome. RNAcentral describes it as "partial contains small subunit ribosomal RNA, internal transcribed spacer 1, and 5.8S ribosomal RNA". The record is from RNAcentral.